GGAAUGUUUGACAUUCUGCUCUUUAUAUUUAGCAGAUUAUGUAGAGACAAGAUUUAAUCAAUCAUCAAGAAAUGAUAAUGCAAAUAUUGACUCAACAUUUGCAUUAGAUGUGUUUAACACAUCUGGCUAUGCACUUGGAAAGACCAUUGCUACUAAGUUUGAUAUUGAGAUAUUAAAGAAUGCACAUCAAUAUGUGUUAUUCAAUUGUCAUCGCUUACAAUCUUAUAUAGAUGAACAUCGUGGAAUUGUGCAACUUAGUCAUCCUCGUCUUCCAUUACACCAAAUUGAACGUAUACAUAGUGAAACUUUUGCCUCAUGGUUUGCUAAUCAUAUUGAAGAUACAAAUCUUCCAGAAGAUGAUCCUAUUUCAAAUGAUUUGAGAUCACUUGCUAGAUGCCCAAAUAUCAUUGGGAUACAAUAUCAUAAAUUCGUUUCAAAUGGAUUUAGGUUUCAUACAAAAGAAGUGGAACGUAAGAGGAAAACUCAAAAUUGUGGUGUGACUGUUAGGGCAACUACUUCAAGUUAUUCAAGUA
Zingiber officinale is the source of this 533-nucleotide long non-coding RNA. RefSeq lists it as uncharacterized. The transcript has 3 exons. The record is from RefSeq and is a predicted model, not a curated record. Lineage: Eukaryota; Viridiplantae; Streptophyta; Magnoliopsida; Zingiberales; Zingiberaceae.